RNAcentral lists this ribosomal RNA (428 nucleotides) under uncultured archaeon. RNAcentral describes it as "bacterial SSU rRNA". It matches the Rfam family "Archaeal small subunit ribosomal RNA", at positions 474 to 903 of the family's 1478-position model. The record is from RNAcentral.
UACCAGCUCUCCGAGUUGUAGGGAUGAUUAUUGGGCUUAAAGCGUCCGUAGCUGGCUUAGCAAGUCUCCUGUUAAAUUCAGCGACCUAAUCGUUGAGCCGCGGGAGAUACUACUAGGCUAGGAGGCGGGAGAGGUCGACGGUACUUUCGGGGUAGGGGUGAAAUCCUAUGAUCCCGGGAGGACCACCAGUGGCGAAGGCUGUUGACUAGAACGCGCUCGACGGUGAGGGACGAAAGCUGGGGGAGCGAACCGGAUUAGAUACCCGGGUAGUCCCAGCUGUAAACGAUGCGAGCUAGGUGUUGGGGUGGCUACGUGCCACUUCAGUGCCGCAGGGAAGCCAUUAAACUCGCCGCCUGGGGAGUACGGCCGCAAGGCUGAAACUUAAAGGAAUUGGCGGGGAGCACCACAAGGCGUGAAGCUUGCGGUUC